Molecule: transfer RNA, 82 nt
Filed under: Rhizoctonia solani AG-1 IB
Lineage: Eukaryota; Fungi; Basidiomycota; Agaricomycetes; Cantharellales; Ceratobasidiaceae
Description: tRNA-Ser
Rfam family: tRNA
About the family: Transfer RNA (tRNA) molecules are approximately 80 nucleotides in length. Their secondary structure includes four short double-helical elements and three loops (D, anti-codon, and T loops). Further hydrogen bonds mediate the characteristic L-shaped molecular structure. tRNAs have two regions of fundamental functional importance: the anti-codon, which is responsible for specific mRNA codon recognition, and the 3' end, to which the tRNAs corresponding amino acid is attached (by aminoacyl-tRNA synthetases). tRNAs cope with the degeneracy of the genetic code in two manners: having more than one tRNA (with a specific anti-codon) for a particular amino acid; and 'wobble' base-pairing, i.e. permitting non-standard base-pairing at the 3rd anti-codon position.
Source: RNAcentral
GACUGCUUACCAAAGUGGUUACUGGGUUGCCCUGCUAAGGCAAUGGUCUUUGACCGCGUGUGUUCGAAUCGCACAGUAGUCG